AUGCACGCUGGCGGCGUGCCUAAUCCCUGCAAGUCGAGCGAACGGACGAGAAGCUUGCUUCUCUGAUGUUAGCGGCGGACGGGUGAGUAACACGUGGAUACCUUACCAUUAGACCGGGAUAACUUCCGGAAACCGGAGCUAAUACCCGAUAAAAUUUUGAACCCGAUGGUUUCAAAAUGAAAGAUGGGGUUGUUGUCACCUAUAGAAUGGUCCCCGCUGCAUUAGCUAAUUGGGUAGGUAACGGCUUACCAAGGCAACGAUGCAUAACCGACCUGAGAGGGUGAUCGGCCCCACAGGAACUGAGAAACGGUCCAGACUCCUACGGGAGGCAGCAGUAGGGAAUCUUCCGCAAUGGGCGAAAGCCUGACGGAGCAACGCCGCGUGAGUGAUGAAGGUCUUCGGAUCGUAAAACUCUGUUAUUAGGGAAGAACAUAUGUGUAAGUAACUGUGCACAUCUUGACGGUACCUAAUCAGAACGCCACGGCUAACUACGUG
RNAcentral lists this ribosomal RNA (495 nucleotides) under uncultured bacterium. Its description in RNAcentral is "partial 16S ribosomal RNA". It matches the Rfam family "Bacterial small subunit ribosomal RNA", at positions 29 to 507 of the family's 1533-position model. The record is from RNAcentral.